Molecule: ribosomal RNA, 806 nt
Filed under: Serratia nematodiphila
Lineage: Bacteria; Pseudomonadati; Pseudomonadota; Gammaproteobacteria; Enterobacterales; Yersiniaceae
Description: bacterial SSU rRNA
Rfam family: Bacterial small subunit ribosomal RNA
Source: RNAcentral
UUUAAAGAGAGUUUGAUCCUGGCUCAGGACGAACGCUGGCGGCGUGCCUAAUACAUGCAAGUCGAACGAACGGAGGAAGAGCUUGCUCUUCCAAAGUUAGUGGCGGACGGGUGAGUAACACGUGGGCAACCUGCCUGUAAGUUGGGGAUAACUCCGGGAAACCGGGGCUAAUACCGAAUGAUAGAAUGUGGCGCAUGCCACGCUUUUGAAAGAUGGUUUCGGCUAUCGCUUACAGAUGGGCCCGCGGUGCAUUAGCUAGUUGGUAGGGUAAUGGCCUACCAAGGCAACGAUGCAUAGCCGACCUGAGAGGGUGAUCGGCCACACUGGGACUGAGACACGGCCCAGACUCCUACGGGAGGCAGCAGUGGGGAAUAUUGCACAAUGGACGCAAGUCUGACGGAGCAACGCCGCGUGAGUGAUGAAGGUCUUCGGAUCGUAAAGCUCUGUUGUUAGGGAAGAACAUAUGUGUAAGUAACUGUGCACAUCUUGACGGUACCUAACCAGAAAGCCACGGCUAACUACGUGCCAGCAGCCGCGGUAAUACGUAGGUGGCAAGCGUUAUCCGGAAUUAUUGGGCGUAAAGCGCGCGUAGGCGGUUUUUUAAGUCUGAUGUGAAAGCCCACGGCUCAACCGUGGAGGGUCAUUGGAAACUGGAAAACUUGAGUGCAGAAGAGGAAAGUGGAAUUCCAUGUGUAGCGGUGAAAUGCGCAGAGAUAUGGAGGAACACCAGUGGCGAAGGCGGCUUUCUGGUCUGCAACUGACGCUGAGGUGCGAAAGCGUGGGGAUCAAACAGGAUUAGAUACCCU